GGGGUUAUGGCUCAGAGGUAGAGUAUAUGCCUGGCAUGCAUGAAGCACUGGGUUUGACCCUCAGUACCACA
Molecule: transfer RNA, 71 nt
Filed under: Marmota monax (woodchuck)
Lineage: Eukaryota; Metazoa; Chordata; Mammalia; Rodentia; Sciuridae
Description: tRNA.Ala
Rfam family: tRNA
About the family: Transfer RNA (tRNA) molecules are approximately 80 nucleotides in length.
Source: RNAcentral